Heterocephalus glaber (naked mole-rat) is the source of this 1083-nucleotide long non-coding RNA. RefSeq lists it as uncharacterized. The record is from RefSeq and is a predicted model, not a curated record. NCBI's taxonomy places the organism in Eukaryota, Metazoa, Chordata, Mammalia, Rodentia, Bathyergidae.
CGGAACUACAUAGCGAGACCCUGUCUCAAAAAACAAAACAAAACAAAAAAUCGGAAAGAAAGAAAAGCUAUUGGUAUCAUAUUCUUCCCAAAAGUUGGAGCCACACUGAAUAUUUUCCUAGAAAAUCUGGCAUGUUUUAUUGAUGAUGCCUAAGCUUAUCCCUGUAAACACUUGAAGUGGGAAGAUGUCAAAAGAUAAAGAGAUAGUGAUGGAGAAGUCCUGAGCUUCAAGGAACUACAAAUUUCUUGGAAAAAAGGCAAAUUCAUUAAACAGAUACAAAACAACAUAGAAUAAUGAAGUAGAGUACUAAGGUGAAUGAACAUGAAAUAAGUUGAAUGUAGUUGUAUGCCACAAGGUGUUACACAAGAAUGAGAAAAAGAUCGUACUACGUUGGGCACCUAAAUAACCAAAGGUUUGUGAUUUAAUACAGACAACAAAUACAGAAAAGGCAGAAUAUACAGCAGACAACUAUGUUAUGCAGUUAGACACAGAGAAAAAAUUAAAAUACGAGUUUUUCAGCAGCACAGGGUAUAGAUUAUGAUAGGUACUGGUAAGUGGGAAUGCUUUCUUGCUCUUGGCAAGCUCUAUGGAAGGGGCAGGUAAUAAUCAGAGGGCAUUAAAUGGAGCUAGAGAUGAACUAAUUGCAAGGGGAACAAUUCUAAAGGGUGGCAUAUAGGAAAAGAUUGUUAGAGAGCCUACGCGCCAGGGACAGAAGGGAAGUGCCCUGCAGGCUGGAGGGGCCAGGCAGAAAGGUGCCCCUCCCCCACUCUGGCCCCUUCUGAAGAUACUGUUGCGUUUUUGAGAAGGAGAGGCACCCUGGAGUGGCUAGAUCGGGAAGGGAGGGAUCUCAGGCCCUUAUUUGCAUACCCAACAUUCACAGCAAGCUUCCAGAAGAUUCCCUGGUUUCAGCCUUCACCCUUAUUGAAUUAGGCCUGCAAGUUGUUACAAUAGUAGCACUUCCCAGGCAUUCUUCCUUUUAGUCUAGGUCUCCCUCCUGUGUACUAGUCUCUCUGUUCUGCAGCCCAGGCCCUGUUACAAUAAAGACUCCCUUUAGUGUUCCUGUAAACCUGUUUGUGAUUUAUU